AGACGACGCUGGCGGCGUGCCUAACACAUGCAAGUCGAACGCGAAAGGGGGCUUGCCCCCAAGUAAAGUGGCGCACGGGUGAGUAACGCGUGGGUAACCAACCCCUAGGUGGGGGAUAACGGCCCGAAAGGGACGCUAAUCCCGCAUAAGACCACGAUAGCGCAGGCUAUUGGGGCCAAAGGAGUGAUUCGCCUAGGGACGGGCCCGCGUCCCAUCAGCUAGUUGGUAGGGUAACGGCCUACCAAGGCAGUGACGGGUAGCUGGUCUGAGAGGAUGAUCAGCCACACUGGGACUGGAACACGGCCCAGACUCCUACGGGAGGCAGCAGUGAGGAAUUUUGGACAAUGGGCGAAAGCCUGAUCCAGCAACGCCGCGUGAGUGAUGAAGGCCCUCGGGUUGUAAAGCUCUUUCAGGGGGGAUGAGAAAGGACGGUACCCCCACAAGAAGCACCGGCUAACUCCGUG
This 464-nucleotide ribosomal RNA is filed under the name uncultured bacterium. RNAcentral describes it as "bacterial SSU rRNA". It matches the Rfam family "Bacterial small subunit ribosomal RNA", at positions 33 to 507 of the family's 1533-position model. The record is from RNAcentral.